GACGAACGCUGGCGGCGUGCUUAAUACAUGCAAGUCGAGCGGAAAGGCCCGGCUCUUGUGGCGUGCUCGUGAGCCGCACACGUGUGUGUAACGCGUGUAAACUCCCCCUGUCAGUGGGAGAACUCCUGGGGAAACGGGCUCUAAUACCGUAUAAACUCUUGAAGCACAGGGUUGAUGUGUGAAAUUCGGCGGUGUGGGAUGGAAUGGAGGUGUCUCAGCUUGUUGGUGGGGUAGUGGCUUAAAAGGGCUUUGACGGGUAGCCGGCCUGAGAGGGUGACCGGCCACAAUGGGACUGAGAUACGGCCCAGACGGAUACGUCAGGCAGCGGUGGGGAAUAUUGCGCAAUAGGCGGAAGCCUGAUGCAGCAAUGUCGGGUGCGGAAUGACGGCUUUUGGGUUGUAAACCGCUUUAGACUGUAACGAACAGUGAGUGACGGUAAUUAGUAAGGAAGCAACGGCUAACUACGUG
This 468-nucleotide ribosomal RNA is filed under the name uncultured bacterium. RNAcentral describes it as "partial 16S ribosomal RNA". It matches the Rfam family "Bacterial small subunit ribosomal RNA", at positions 28 to 507 of the family's 1533-position model. The record is from RNAcentral.